GACAGAGGGUGCAAACGUUGCUCGGAAUUACUGGGCGUAAAGCGCGUGUAGGUGGUCACGCAAGUCAGGUGUGAAAGCCCAGGGCUCAACCCUGGAAGUGCACAUGAUACUACGUGGCUGGAGUACUGAAGAGGAGAGCGGAAUUCCCGGUGUAGAGGUGAAAUUCGUAGAUAUUCGCAAGAACACCAGUGGCGAAGGCGGCUCACUGGCCCGGUACUGACGCUGAGGUGCGAAAGCGUGGGGAGCAAACAGG
This 253-nucleotide ribosomal RNA is filed under the name uncultured bacterium. Its description in RNAcentral is "partial 16S ribosomal RNA". It matches the Rfam family "Bacterial small subunit ribosomal RNA", at positions 524 to 776 of the family's 1533-position model. The record is from RNAcentral.